ACGUAUGGUGCAAGCGUUAUCCGGAUUUACUGGGUGUAAAGGGAGCGCAGGCGGUUUGGCAAGUCUGAUGUGAAAAUCCGGGGCUCAACUCCGGAACUGCAUUGGAAACUGUCAGACUAGAGUGUCGGAGAGGUAAGUGGAAUUCCUAGUGUAGCGGUGAAAUGCGUAGAUAUUAGGAGGAACACCAGUGGCGAAGGCGGCUUACUGGACGAUAACUGACGCUGAGGCUCGAAAGCGUGGGGAGCAAACAG
This 251-nucleotide ribosomal RNA is filed under the name uncultured bacterium. RNAcentral describes it as "partial 16S ribosomal RNA". It matches the Rfam family "Bacterial small subunit ribosomal RNA", at positions 525 to 775 of the family's 1533-position model. The record is from RNAcentral.